RNAcentral lists this ribosomal RNA (496 nucleotides) under uncultured bacterium. RNAcentral's name for it is "partial 16S ribosomal RNA". It matches the Rfam family "Bacterial small subunit ribosomal RNA", at positions 28 to 507 of the family's 1533-position model. The record is from RNAcentral.
GAUGAACGCUGGCGGCGUGCCUAAUACAUGCAAGUCGAGCGAACAGACGAGGAGCUUGCUCCUCUGACAUUAGCGGCGGACGGGUGAGUAACACGUGGAUAACCUACCUAUAAGACUGGGAUAACUUCGGGAAACCGGAGCUAAUACCGGAUAAUAUAUUGAACCGCAUGGUUCAAUAGUGAAAGACGGUUUUGCUGUCACUUAUAGAUGGAUCCGCGCCGCAUUAGCUAGUUGGUAAGGUAACGGCUUACCAAGGCGACGAUGCGUAGCCGACCUGAGAGGGUGAUCGGCCACACUGGAACUGAGACACGGUCCAGACUCCUACGGGAGGCAGCAGUAGGGAAUCUUCCGCAAUGGGCGAAAGCCUGACGGAGCAACGCCGCGUGAGUGAUGAAGGUCUUCGGAUCGUAAAACGCUGUUAUUAGGGAAGAACAAAUGUGUAAGUAACUAUGCACGUCUGACGGUACCUAAUCAGAAAGCCACGGCUAACUACGUG